GUAGAGCAUACAAAAAAAAUUGUACACACAUGGUCUUCUUUUUUUCACUUUUUCAGCUUUCAGGAGAAAUGAAUAUAUGUGACAUACUUGAUGGUCAUCAUCCUCCAAGAUGGCCCCAGGGAUCUCUGCUCCCCUGGCAUUCCUACACCGUGUAGUCCCUCCCACAUUGUAUGAAGAUCACUCAUUCCGUGGAAAGCCAGCUGCUAUGUCUUGAGGUCAUUCAUGCCACCUAUGAGGAGACACAUGCGGUGAAGAAGACAGACCUCUGGACAACAACCAGUGAAGAACUGAGGCCUGCCAACAACCACAUGAGUGAGCUUUGAAAUGGAUUUUCUACCCCCAGUCAAGGCUUGAUGUGACUGCAGCUGUUAGGACAGCUUGACUGCAGCCUAGGAGACCAUGAGUUAGAACCACCCAGCUACAGCACUUCCCAUUUCCUGUGCCUUAGAAACUGUGAGAGACAAUAAACUGUGAGAGAGUUGUUUCAAA
Herpailurus yagouaroundi (jaguarundi) is the source of this 489-nucleotide long non-coding RNA. RefSeq lists it as uncharacterized. The transcript has 2 exons. The record is from RefSeq and is a predicted model, not a curated record. Lineage: Eukaryota; Metazoa; Chordata; Mammalia; Carnivora; Felidae.